Long non-coding RNA from Phyllostomus discolor (pale spear-nosed bat), 1098 nucleotides. RefSeq lists it as uncharacterized. The record is from RefSeq and is a predicted model, not a curated record. NCBI's taxonomy places the organism in Eukaryota, Metazoa, Chordata, Mammalia, Chiroptera, Phyllostomidae. The transcript is spliced from 3 exons.
CGCAGAGCCACACCAGCCAGGGCAAAAUAUUUCUUUAAAGGGGAGAUCUGAGAUUUGAUAUCCAUUAGGAGCUCACCUGUAUAAAUGAGCCUUUACACAAUAGUUAAAAGACAGGAAACAGGCAGACAGGUGUGUUUUCACAAUGUCUGGUGUACCCUAGAGCUUGACUUGUAUAGAGAACAAUGGAAGAAGGCUUGACUUGUUCCUAAAUAGUGCUUAUAUUUCCCACUUUGGUUGAAUCACCUCACUUGGGCUCACUAUAGUGUACCUCACCAGGGAUAUAAGUGCAAAAUAUUUUUAACACAAGAUCUAUGGCAAAUGGAAAUUAAUGGUAUAGUUUCAUAAGCAAAACUAACACAUGGAACAUUUAAAUACUAAGCUCUGGAGUACUGUUAAUUUCAUAUGGUAUUGAAAAUGGGAGAGGGCUAGAGCAGUUAGGGGAGAUUUAAAGGAAAUGGGACUUGAAUGGUACAUAGAUAAGGGAGAUGAAGGGAGGAAGCAUGAUUGGAGUAAAAAGGAGGUUAUGGUGUACUAAGCUAGUAGACAAAAGCCUGAAAUUGAAGAAGGGGAUGAGCAGAUCAAAAAUUCAAGGCAGCUCAAAGCACUAGAGAGAGGCAGCAUUUUAAAUGAAGGAUGUGCAAGAAAAUUUACCACCAGUCUGUGGAGGCAGUGUAAGCUGGGGAGGGAGGUACAGAGUGCAGUGACCUGAGUGAGGUUAUCCAUAAAUUUGUAUGGCAGCUAGGAACCAGACGUCAAAAAGAUGGAUAUUCCUUUCGACAACUGGCUUCUGACUCCCAGGCAGUAAUAGUUGCUUGAUCUGUAGGAUACUCUGGUGAAAGUGAAGGAAGGUACUGACACAAUUCUUUAGAAAGGUUUUCUCUGGCUUUAUGCACCAGCCACAAAGCCUUGACUAGCGGUGCAGGUGUCAAUCAACUUGGAACAUUCCAUGAAUGAUAGAAGUGUUUGUAGAGAAUGACAAAACUCACCCACUUAAUGAGAACCAGGUAGAAUUCCUUUAUAUACACACGAUCUAUACCAAGGACACAGGUUCAGCUAUCAUUCUUAAGUUCCUUUUAACUAAGCCAAUCAGUGAGGCUU